CUGACGGACAGAUGCGACGACCCUCGCUCCGCGAAACCGGGCACCUGGCGCGAGGAAAGCAAGUGGUGCGACCGACUAUUCGUUCG
Deinococcus peraridilitoris DSM 19664 is the source of this 86-nucleotide regulatory RNA element. It matches the Rfam family "c-di-GMP-II-GAG riboswitch aptamer". Lineage: Bacteria; Thermotogati; Deinococcota; Deinococci; Deinococcales; Deinococcaceae. The record is from Rfam.